This is a long non-coding RNA of Raphanus sativus (radish), 1218 nucleotides long. RefSeq lists it as uncharacterized. Lineage: Eukaryota; Viridiplantae; Streptophyta; Magnoliopsida; Brassicales; Brassicaceae. The record is from RefSeq and is a predicted model, not a curated record. The transcript is spliced from 2 exons.
CUCCCUCUUAUCUUCUCCAUCCUCUCUCAUCUCCUGACCACAAACUAACCACCGCCUGCGUUCUUCUCUCCGGCGUCCGCCGGAGGAGUCUCUCCCUCUCUCUCUCGUCUUCUACUUUACUGCUCCGCGACCUCUCUCUUUCCCGUGCGAGAUCCUGGGCUGUCAUGUCUCUCCGGCGAGUUCUCCAUGCGCAAGGAGUGUCUUUCCAGUGACGUUUGGCUUCUACUGGUUUCUUGGCGAGGCGUGACAAGGUCUGUUUCGUGGAGUGGUCGGCCUGUUGAGUUCGAAGCAGACCGAUUCUUCAAUUCAGAUCUACUUCGUCCUUUCCGCCCUUGUUGGUUUUGGGAGUCUCGGUUUGCUUUCCCGCUCUGUUUGGUGGUGGUUUCGGCCUGCACCGUUCUCUGAGUCGGGCUCCAGAUGUGUCGCUUGACAUUGGAGGCGAGGCGAGCAUAGAGUUUUCAGUACUGAGCUCUUUCAGGUUCGUGUGGGUUGGAAUAAAUGAAUGCGAUGAUGAAGCCGCAUUUUCAGAAUCAGAACCAAUCUAAGGAAUCCGAGGCGGCAAAUCUACGCUCGCUAAAGGAUCUCGAGAGGGAGAGAAAGGAGAAGGAAGAGUACAAGAAGAUGGAGAGGAAGAGCGAGGAACUACUGAUCUGGAACGAGGAGCUUUUGAUUGUGUUAGAUAAACAAGAGGAGGAGGAGGAGGAGAAAAGGCAGAGCAAGUAUGAUGACUAAGCAAAUAAAUGUGAUGAGAUUGAGAUUUGAGAAGGAGUGUUCGGAUUUAAAAACACUCUAUGAAGAUUCUAAGAAACUCAACUUUCGUCAAGGAAAGAACAAUGUGGCUAUGGAAGAUGAUGUAUUUGUGGUGGGUGAGAAUCUCAAUAUGAACAACAACAACACAGUUGCUGAUGCGAUUGUGCUUGGUGACGAGAGUGAUGCUGAGAAUGAUAAUCCCACAAGAGAGAGCAACAUAAACACGGAGUAAACACUCCACUGUGUGAUCACUUUCUUCUUUGUGCUUGCUUCUAGUGUUGUUGUAUUGCCAGUUCGUUGACAACGAAGACUUGCAUUCACUUCAAAGGAUAACUUAGGUUUCUUUUAUUUUGAUAUGUUAAAGCUUGUUGAGGCAUUGGUUCGUAGAUGAAUUUCCUAGACGUAGCAAAUGAAAUAAUGUAUGUAUUGAAAAAUUAAUGAAAUAUAAUUUCUCAUAUUUAGAUCAAA